AACGGAGGGGGCAAGCGUUAUUCAUCCUUAUUGGGCGUAAAGGGUAUGUAGGUGAUGGAAAAAUUUUUUUAAAAAAGGUCAAAUUUAUAUUUUGAAAAGUUAAAAAAAGUUGAUAAAUUCGAGAUAGUUUAGAGGUUGAUGGAAUUACUAAAGUAAGGGUAAAAUUUUGCGAUAUUAGUAAGAACACCAGUGGCGCAAGCGGUUUUCUCAAAUAUCUGACACUGAGGUACUAAAGCAUGGGGAUCAAACGGG
This 252-nucleotide ribosomal RNA is filed under the name uncultured bacterium. RNAcentral describes it as "partial 16S ribosomal RNA". It matches the Rfam family "Bacterial small subunit ribosomal RNA", at positions 524 to 776 of the family's 1533-position model. The record is from RNAcentral.